RNAcentral lists this ribosomal RNA (537 nucleotides) under Triticum aestivum (bread wheat). RNAcentral describes it as "partial small subunit ribosomal RNA". Lineage: Eukaryota; Viridiplantae; Streptophyta; Magnoliopsida; Poales; Poaceae. The record is from RNAcentral.
AUGAGACCCAAAAUAUCGGAUUUUGGAAUGGCAAGGAUUUUUGGUGAUAACCAGCAACAAGCGAAUACUAGGCAUGUUGUCGGGACAUACGGUUACAUGUCGCCUGAAUAUGCGAUGGAAGGCAUUUUUUCUGUCAAGUCUGAUGCGUAUAGCUACGGUGUCUUGCUUCUGGAGAUUGUAAGUGGGUUAAAGAUCAGCUCGCCGCAUCACCUUAUAAUGGAUUUUCCAAACCUUAUAGAUUAUGCAUGGAACUUCCUGAAAGAAGGAAAAUCCGAGGAUUUCCUAGACACAGUGCUUCCGGAGAGCUGCUCACUGCAUCAAGUGUCUCUGUGCAUCCAUAUUGGCCUUCUGUGUGUCCAAGACUGCCCAAGUGCCAGGCCACUAAUGUCGUUAGUCGUGUCUAUGCUGGACAACGAGGCCAUGCCACUCACAACACCAGAGCAGCCGUUAUAUUCCGUCGGGAGGAAACAUGCUGCAGAAGAAGCAAGGGAGAACUCUGUCAACAAUGCAAGCCUGACGACGCUAGCAGGGCGCUAG